Molecule: long non-coding RNA, 701 nt
Organism: Diabrotica virgifera virgifera (western corn rootworm)
Lineage: Eukaryota; Metazoa; Arthropoda; Insecta; Coleoptera; Chrysomelidae
Exons: 2
Source: RefSeq, a predicted model, not a curated record
UCAAAUUUUAUUAAUUUUUGGAUAAUGAGCUAAUUUUUCUAAAUUGUGUUUGUACUUUUACACAAAAAUGUCUUGCAAAAUGAGUGUGGUGUGUGCUAUGUACGGUUGUAACAAUUAUAAACAGCAAAAAGAGUACAAAUCAUUUUUUAGAAUGCCAAAAGAUAAAAAUUUGUAAGAAAUAUUUAUUGGGAAUUGUGUCGAUUUUUAAAAGUAUUUAGCGGCAUGUAUUUUAAAUUUGACUUAGGCCCGGUCUUUUCAUCUCCGGAUAAAUAUGCUCUUAUUAGCUAUCUGGAGAAUAAGUAUUUAUUCGCCAAAUAAAAUGUACCCGUCUUUUCACAUCAAUUUAUGUUCCAGUUAGUUAUCCUGUAGAUAAGCUCAUAGAGAAAUGUUUUUAUUUCUCUAUGGAUAAGCUUAAAAAAUAUGACAAACAUCUAGAAGAUAGAAUCCUGCGUUCUUAAAGAAAAAAGCUAGUUCCAGAAGUAAGCUACCAAUAAUAAACUAGAGAAUGUAUUACAAGAAAGCUAAUACUCAACAUAGCUCAAUUGCUUCAGAUAGAAACACAAAAAUGUAAAGGAAAGGGUACAACACAACUGUGCCAGAGAAAAUGAAAGGGCAGAAGAGAGACACAAAAUUCAUUGAUUUAUUAAAUUUAAAAAUUGAAUUAUACAAAGGUCAAUUAAAUAAAGAAUAAAAAAAUGAUA